CGGACAAGAAGUAGAUACAGAUCGGUCCCCACCCUUUUUUGAAUUGAAUGUCACAUUCCAUGUCCUCGAACAAAGUUUUGAUCUUUCUUGCUAGGAAGGUGCUUUUGGAUGAAUCAAAAGAUUUUCAUUUUACUCCACAAAAAAAAUCAUAAUGGAAGGUGUCUUCUUUCUUUGCUUCUCCUUGUGCUAUCAAGACUGAUUUACAUUCAAAGGUACUGCAAAGCCGCUCAUGGAUUGUGUUCGAAUUAAUACCUUUUUUUGAACUAUCGUUCAGAAUGAGUAAGAAAUGAAAAUCUUUGGCGGGUGUCAUAGUAGCAUUUUGUACUUUCUUUCCUCCUCUAGUCUAUUAAUCAAAAAAGAUCCCCGAAACCGGAACCGGACAACGAUUUUCCUUUCCGGAUUAUUCCCCGUUCUCCGCGAGAAAUAUAUAUAUAAUCGGGGAUUACUUAUUAGACUCUGAAUCCAUUCUCUCUCAGAGGAUUCAAUCUUCUUG
This 493-nucleotide unclassified non-coding RNA is filed under the name Hevea brasiliensis (rubber tree). Lineage: Eukaryota; Viridiplantae; Streptophyta; Magnoliopsida; Malpighiales; Euphorbiaceae. The record is from RNAcentral.